GAGGCAGCAGUGAGGAAUAUUGGGCAAUGGGCGAAAGCCUGACCCAGCCACGCCGCGUGUGUGAUGAAGGCCUUCGGGUCGUAAAGCACUGUGGGGAGAGACGAAACAGCGCGUCAGGAAAUGGGUCGCCUUGACGGUACCUCCUUAGCAAGCACCGGCUAACUCUGUGCCAGCAGCCGCGGUAAUACAGAGGGUGCAAACGUUGCUCGGAUUUACUGGGCGUAAAGCGCGUGUAGGCGGACUCGCAAGUCGGUUGUGAAAUCCCUGGGCUCAACCUAGGAACUGCAUCCGAAACUGCUUGUCUUGAGUAAUGGAGAGGGUGGCGGAAUUCCCGGUGUAGAGGUGAAAUUCGUAGAUAUCGGGAGGAACAUCAGUGGCGAAGGCGGCCACCUGGACAUUUACUGACGCUGAGACGCGAAAGCGUGGGGAGCAAACAGGAUUAGAUACCCUGGUAGUCCACGCCGUAAACGAUGAGAACUAGGUGCAGCGGAUAUUGACCUCUGCUGUGCCGUAGCUAACGCGAUAAGU
RNAcentral lists this ribosomal RNA (528 nucleotides) under uncultured bacterium. RNAcentral describes it as "bacterial SSU rRNA". It matches the Rfam family "Bacterial small subunit ribosomal RNA", at positions 345 to 865 of the family's 1533-position model. The record is from RNAcentral.